CAGGUACUCGAGUGGCGAACGGGUGAGUAACACGUGGGUGAUCUGCCCUGCACUUCGGGAUAAGCCUGGGAAACUGGGUCUAAUACCGGAUAGGAGCCAUUUUUAGUGUGAUGGUUGGAAAGUUUCUUCGGUGUAGGAUGAGCUCGCGGCCUAUCAGCUUGUUGGUGGGGUAAUGGCCUACCAAGGCGGCGACGGGUAGCCGGCCUGAGAGGGUGGACGGCCACAUUGGGACUGAGAUACGGCCCAGACUCCUACGGGAGGCAGCAGUGGGGAAUAUUGCACAAUGGGCGCAAGCCUGAUGCAGCGACGCCGCGUGGGGGAUGACGGCCUUCGGGUUGUAAACUCCUUUCGCUAGGGACGAAGCUUUUUGUGACGGUACCUAGAUAAGAAGCACCGGCUAACUACGUGCCAGCAGCCGCGGUAAUACGUAGGGUGCGAGCGUUGUCCGGAAUUACUGGGCGUAAAGGGCUCGUAGGUGGUUUGUCGCGUCGUCUGUGAAAUUCCGGGGCUUAACUCCGGGCGUGCAGGCGAUACGGGCAUAACUUGAGUACUGUAGGGGUAACUGGAAUUCCUGGUGUAGCGGUGAAAUGCGCAGAUAUCAGGAGGAACACCGAUGGCGAAGGCAGGUUACUGGGCAGUUACUGACGCUGAGGAGCGAAAGCAUGGGUAGCGAACAGGAUUA
RNAcentral lists this ribosomal RNA (682 nucleotides) under uncultured Actinomycetales bacterium. RNAcentral's name for it is "bacterial SSU rRNA". It matches the Rfam family "Bacterial small subunit ribosomal RNA", at positions 84 to 780 of the family's 1533-position model. The record is from RNAcentral. Lineage: Bacteria; Bacillati; Actinomycetota; Actinomycetes; Actinomycetales.